AUUGAACGCUGGCGGCAGGCCUAACACAUGCAAGUCGAGCGGAUGAAGGGAGCUUGCUCCUGGAUUCAGCGGCGGACGGGUGAGUAAUGCCUAGGAAUCUGCCUGGUAGUGGGGGAUAACGUCCGGAAACGGGCGCUAAUACCGCAUACGUCCUGAGGGAGAAAGUGGGGGAUCUUCGGACCUCACGCUAUCAGAUGAGCCUAGGUCGGAUUAGCUAGUUGGUGGGGUAAAGGCCUACCAAGGCGACGAUCCGUAACUGGUCUGAGAGGAUGAUCAGUCACACUGGAACUGAGACACGGUCCAGACUCCUACGGGAGGCAGCAGUGGGGAAUAUUGGACAAUGGGCGAAAGCCUGAUCCAGCCAUGCCGCGUGUGUGAAGAAGGUCUUCGGAUUGUAAAGCACUUUAAGUUGAGAGGAAGGGCAGUAAGUUAAUACCUUGCUGUUUUGACGUUACCAACAGAAUAAGCACCGGCUAACUUCGU
Molecule: ribosomal RNA, 483 nt
Filed under: uncultured bacterium
Lineage: Bacteria
Description: partial 16S ribosomal RNA
Rfam family: Bacterial small subunit ribosomal RNA
Source: RNAcentral